AACGAACGCUGGCGGCAGGCCUAACACAUGCAAGUCGAACGCCGUAGCAAUACGGAGUGGCAGACGGGUGAGUAACGCGUGGGAACAUACCCCUCGGUUCGGAAUAACUCAGGGAAACUUGAGCUAAUACCGGAUACGUCCGAGGUUUUAAUCGACCUUGGAGAAAGAUUUAUCGCCGGUAGGAUUGGCCCGCGUCUGAUUUAGCUUGUUGGUGAGGUAAUGGCUCACCAAGGCGACGAUCAGUAGCUGGUCUGAGAGGAUGAUCAG
RNAcentral lists this ribosomal RNA (267 nucleotides) under uncultured bacterium. Its description in RNAcentral is "partial 16S ribosomal RNA". It matches the Rfam family "Bacterial small subunit ribosomal RNA", at positions 29 to 307 of the family's 1533-position model. The record is from RNAcentral.